GUCUACGGCCAUACCACCCUGAACGCGCCCAAUCUCGUCUGAUCUCGGAAGCUAAGCAGGGUCGGGCCUGGUUAGUACUUGGAUGGGAGGAAGAGCCAUAAUGAAGACU
This 109-nucleotide ribosomal RNA is filed under the name Neogale vison (American mink). The record is from RNAcentral. Lineage: Eukaryota; Metazoa; Chordata; Mammalia; Carnivora; Mustelidae.